UGUCCUGUAGUGUAAUUGGCAACACGCUGCAUUUUGGCUGCAGAGACUCCUGGUUCGAGCCCAGGCGGGACAACAA
This 76-nucleotide transfer RNA is filed under the name Spirochaetota bacterium. RNAcentral describes it as "Spirochaetes bacterium tRNA-Gln". It matches the Rfam family "tRNA". Rfam says of the family: Transfer RNA (tRNA) molecules are approximately 80 nucleotides in length. Their secondary structure includes four short double-helical elements and three loops (D, anti-codon, and T loops). Lineage: Bacteria; Pseudomonadati; Spirochaetota. The record is from RNAcentral.